Molecule: ribosomal RNA, 467 nt
Filed under: uncultured bacterium
Lineage: Bacteria
Description: partial 16S ribosomal RNA
Rfam family: Bacterial small subunit ribosomal RNA
Source: RNAcentral
GAUGAACGCUGGCGGCGUGCUUAACACAUGCAAGUCGAACGGAAAGGCCCAAGCUUGCUUGGGUACUCGAGUGGCGAACGGGUGAGUAACACGUGGGUGAUCUGCCCUGCACUUCGGGAUAAGCCUGGGAAACUGGGUCUAAUACCGGAUAGGUCCACAUUUUGGAUGGUGUGGUGGAAAGUUUUUCGGUGUGGGAUGAGCUCGCGGCCUAUCAGCUUGUUGGUGGGGUAAUGGCCUACCAAGGCGUCGACGGGUAGCCGGCCUGAGAGGGUGUACGGCCACAUUGGGACUGAGAUACGGCCCAGACUCCUACGGGAGGCAGCAGUGGGGAAUAUUGCACAAUGGGCGCAAGCCUGAUGCAGCGACGCCGCGUGGGGGAUGACGGCCUUCGGGUUGUAAACUCCUUUCGCUAGGGACGAAGCGUUUUUGUGACGGUACCUGGAGAAGAAGCACCGGCUAACUACGUG